This 253-nucleotide ribosomal RNA is filed under the name uncultured bacterium. RNAcentral describes it as "partial 16S ribosomal RNA". It matches the Rfam family "Bacterial small subunit ribosomal RNA", at positions 524 to 776 of the family's 1533-position model. The record is from RNAcentral.
GACGAACCGUGCGAACGUUGUUCGGAAUCACUGGGCUUAAAGGGCGCGUAGGCGGGUCGCCAAGUUUGGGGUGAAAUCCUCCCGCUCAACGGGAGAACGGCCUUGAAUACUGGCGAUCUCGAGGGGGAUAGGGGCAUGCGGAACUACGGGUGGAGCGGUGAAAUGCGUUGAUAUCCGUAGGAACUCCGGUGGCGAAGGCGGCGCGCUGGAUCCCUUCUGACGCUGAGGCGCGAAAGCCAGGGGAGCAAACGGG